This 765-nucleotide long non-coding RNA is filed under the name Homo sapiens (human). Its description in RNAcentral is "HSALNT0332584". The record is from RNAcentral. Lineage: Eukaryota; Metazoa; Chordata; Mammalia; Primates; Hominidae.
ACCUUCAAGUUAUUUCCCUCCUCUAGAAUGCUGUACUUCCACCACUGCCAAAUCGUGAACUUUCUCUCCUUCAAUAUCCCACUGAGAACUCACCCCCAGGAUGGGACUCUGCUCACCCCGUCCUCUACUCAAGCAGAAGCCUCUCAGCGAUCAUAGGGCAAGGCCUGAACACAAGCUUCUGUUGGUGUAAAGUGGAGGCACAGGCUGCAGGACUGUCUCAGAAGGGAAAUAAUAUUUACCUUCCAAACUGAGAUCUAAAACCCGAACAAAGCCUCAGGAAACAUACUCCACCACCAUCUUACAAGUUUGUGCUACGGGUGGAGGGAAAAUGAAUCUAAUGUAGGAGGCCUCCCGCUGUGCGUCUAGCAGGAAAGACCAUACGGUGCAAGUCUCCAGGAUCACUAGAGGGGUGGAUUGUUCAUUUCAGUCCAGGUAGCAACAGGAAGCCCGUGCAAAUGUUCCUCUCUCACUGCGGGGCUAAGGAGUGUGGGUCCUUUCCCGCGACUACCUGCUUGCCUCUCUCAGAACCUGCAAGUGAAGUGCGGAAGAUCUGUCUAUCUUCUCGGCGGCGCAGAGCCCAAGGUAGAAACCGAUGGAGGCGGUGCACUAGAUAACAUCAAAGCCCCGGGCAGGGGCCAGAAAGGGGGGCACAGGCAGCCCGGGGAAUGAAGCGCCUCCCUCUAGCAUUUCCUCUCACGCCCACUUCCAACCUAGGAGGCUUUUGGUUUCUGCUUUUUUGUUUUUAAAAUUAAAAGUUAAACCCAG